UUGGGUGUGGCGAAAUAGUAGAAGGUAAUAAUGACUAAAAUUUGGGCAGCAAACAAAAACUAAAUUUCAAAACUAGCUCUCUUUUUUUUUCACAAUUUUUUUUUUCACAACUUGAUAUCCAAUCUUUUAAGUUUGAAUGGAAACUAGUUUUUUUUUUGAAUUUUUUUUCGAGUUUUUUUUUCGAGAAACUACUAUACCGUAAUGCCGACAACGUCGAUUCUUACUCCAAAUUCGCUAGCUCUGAUACCAAUUUGAUACGAACUCGUCUCGUGAUGUUUUGAGUCGUAUGUGUUGCCCAAUCGUGAAUUGAG
Molecule: long non-coding RNA, 311 nt
Filed under: Gossypium raimondii (Peruvian cotton)
Lineage: Eukaryota; Viridiplantae; Streptophyta; Magnoliopsida; Malvales; Malvaceae
Description: long non-coding RNA (GRAI_LNC008191)
Source: RNAcentral